This 65-nucleotide non-coding RNA is filed under the name Flavobacterium lindanitolerans. Its description in RNAcentral is "DUF805 RNA". It matches the Rfam family "DUF805 RNA". The record is from RNAcentral. Lineage: Bacteria; Pseudomonadati; Bacteroidota; Flavobacteriia; Flavobacteriales; Flavobacteriaceae.
AUAGUGGAGACCAGAAACCACUCAAAAAACGGGGCGUUACUGAAAAGCCUUAUGAGUAAGGAAAU